GACAUAUCUCAGUUCUGUGGAUCAAGGGGACAGCAUUGCCAUGGGGCAUUACUGGCACAUUAGGAAGCCAUCAUCAGAGCAACACUGCUGGUUACAGGUAUGACCAUCCAUCAGCAUUCUGCUCUCCUCUGCUGUUGGCUGCCCAAUAGACACAGCUGAGUUGGUUCAUCCAGUGAACUGGAAUGCCUACCAGCCCAUGGUGCUCACAUACAGGAUGAGUUUCAGACUCACCAGCCCAUGCCAGCGCUCACAAAUGGCUUAGAAAACACAAGGGCUUGCCUGGAAGAGCUCUGGCUGCCUGAAGCUGAAGGGGCCAAGAGAGCACGAGUUAUCCUUCACUACUGCCAGUGCCUCUGGAGCUUAUUUUUGCAUUCACUACAUUUUAUUUUUAAAGCUAGGAGAUAGCAGUGCUGAGGAUGCACACAUUUAAUUACUAGAUGCUGCAGCCAGAAAAGCUAUGUAAUUACACCAUUUGCACGCCAGUUA
Gallus gallus (chicken) is the source of this 486-nucleotide long non-coding RNA. RefSeq lists it as uncharacterized. The transcript is spliced from 2 exons. Lineage: Eukaryota; Metazoa; Chordata; Aves; Galliformes; Phasianidae. The record is from RefSeq and is a predicted model, not a curated record.